This 523-nucleotide ribosomal RNA is filed under the name uncultured bacterium. RNAcentral's name for it is "partial 16S ribosomal RNA". It matches the Rfam family "Bacterial small subunit ribosomal RNA", at positions 28 to 523 of the family's 1533-position model. The record is from RNAcentral.
GACGAACGCUGGCGGCGUGCCUAAUACAUGCAAGUCGAACGCUUUUUCUUUCACCGGAGCUUGCUCCACCGAAAGAAAAAGAGUGGCGAACGGGUGAGUAACACGUGGGUAACCUGCCCAUCAGAAGGGGAUAACACUUGGAAACAGGUGCUAAUACCGUAUAACACUAUUUUCCGCAUGGAAGAAAGUUGAAAGGCGCUUUUGCGUCACUGAUGGAUGGACCCGCGGUGCAUUAGCUAGUUGGUGAGGUAACGGCUCACCAAGGCAAAGAGGCAUGGCCGACCUGAGAGGGUGAUCGGACACACUGGGACUGAGACACGGCCCAGACUCCUACGGGAGGCAGCAGUAGGGAAUCUUCGGCAAUGGACGAAAGUCUGACCGAGCAACGCCGCGUGAGUGAAGAAGGUUUUCGGAUCGUAAAACUCUGUUGUUAGAGAAGAACAAGGAUGAGAGUAGAACGUUCAUCCCUUGACGGUAUCUAACCAGAAAGCCACGGCCAACUACGUGCCAGCCGCCGCGGUAA